UACGGUGGGGGCAAGCGUUGUUCGGAAUUACUGGGCGUAAAGGGCUCGUAGGUGGCCAACUAAGUCAGACGUGAAAUCCCUCGGCUUAACCGGGGAACUGCGUCUGAUACUGGAUGGCUUGAGUGUGGGAGAGGGAUGCGGAAUUCCAGGUGUAGCGGUGAAAUGCGUAGAUAUCUGGAGGAACACCGGUGGCGAAGGCGGCAUCCUGGACCAAGACUGACGCUGAGUGAGCGAAAGCCAGGGGAGCAAACGGG
This 254-nucleotide ribosomal RNA is filed under the name uncultured bacterium. Its description in RNAcentral is "partial 16S ribosomal RNA". It matches the Rfam family "Bacterial small subunit ribosomal RNA", at positions 524 to 776 of the family's 1533-position model. The record is from RNAcentral.